Molecule: ribosomal RNA, 1324 nt
Filed under: metagenome
Description: bacterial LSU rRNA
Rfam family: Bacterial large subunit ribosomal RNA
Source: RNAcentral
AGUGGAUGGGGAGCAACCUAGUUGUGCGUGUGUAAAGGUAGUGCCAAGAAAAGCGAUGAUCAUGUUGAAAAUCAAUUCCCGGUACCCGAAACCGACACAGGUGGGCGAGUAGAGAAUACUAAGGGGCGCGAGGUAACUCUCUCCAAGGAACUCGGCAAAAUGACCCCGUAACUUAGGGAGAAGGGGUGCCACCGAGAGGUGGUCGCAGUGAAGAGGCCCAGGCGACUGUUUAGCAAAAACAUAGGUCUCUGCAAACUCGAAAGAGGAGGUAUAGGGGCUGACGCCUGCCCAGUGCCGGAAGGUUAAAGAAGUUGGUCAGUUUAGGAUGAAGCUAGCGACUGAAGCCCCGGUGAACGGCGGCCGUAACUAUAACGGUCCUAAGGUAGCGAAAUUCCUUGUCGGGUAAGUUCCGACCCGCACGAAAGGCGUAACGAUCUGGGCGCUGUCUCGGAGAGAGGCUCGGCGAAAUAGGAUUGUCUGUGAAGAUACGGACUACCUGCAUUUGGACAGAAAGACCCUAUGAAGCUUUACUAUAGCUUGGAAUUGUGUUCGGGCUUCCUGUGCGCAGGAUAGGUGGGAGGCGUAGAAGGUAUUCUUGUGGGGAUACUGGAGCCAACGGUGAGAUACCACUCUCAGGAGGCUAGAAUUCUAACUUAAUUAAGGACAGUUUCAGGUGGGUAGUUUGACUGGGGCGGUCGCCUCCAAAAAGGUAACGGGGGCGUACAAAGGUUCCCUCAGACUGGUUGGAAAUCAGUCGAAGAGUGCAAAGGCAGAAGGGAGCUUGACUGCGAGAAGUACAGUUCGAGCAGGGUGGAAACACGGUCUUAGUGAUCCGACGGUGCUGUGUGGAAGGGCCGUCGCUCAACGGAUAAAAGUUACUCUAGGAUAACAGGCUGAUCUCCCCCAAGAGUUCACAUCGACGGGGAGGUUUGGCACCUCGAUGUCGGCUCAUCGCAACCUGGGGCGGAAGUACGUCCCAAGGGUUGGGCUGUUCGCCCAUUAAAGCGGUACGUGAGCUGGGUUCAGAACGUCGUGAGACAGUUCGGUCCAUAUCCGAUGCAGGCGUGAGAAUAUUGAGAGGAGCCUUCCUUAGUACGAGAGGACCGGGAAGGACGCACCGCUGGUGUACCUGUUAUGAUGCCAAUUGUAAACGCAGGGUAGCCAAGUGCGGAGAGGAUAACCGCUGAAAGCAUCUAAGUGGGAAGCCCACCUCAAGAUGAGUAUUCUGGUGUAAGGUCACGGGAAGACGACCCGUAAAUAGGCACGAGGUGGAAGUGCAGAGAUGUAUGAAGCCGAAGUGUACUAAUAGACCGUCGGCUUGACC